GAAGAAACUGCGCUUCGGGGGUUCAGGUCCUCCUCAGCUCCGCCUGGUAGUUUGGAUUUGCCGGAUUCCUGACCAGGACCGCGCGUUGUUAACGUGCUAGAGGCCUGCGGGACCCUUGAAAGGAGACGCCGAUUCGUUUAUGGCCAGAGGGAGUAGCGAAAGUGGAGCUCUGCCGCUGCAGGGCUCACCAGCUACCUGCCCCGCCAAGCCAAGGGGGAGCAGGACACCUGGAGCUCGCCUUCUGCCUAAACCCGGAACCCAACAGCGCCUGAGCUCUGCACCCAAAACUAGGG
This 293-nucleotide long non-coding RNA is filed under the name Mus musculus (house mouse). Its description in RNAcentral is "alncRNA-EC63". Lineage: Eukaryota; Metazoa; Chordata; Mammalia; Rodentia; Muridae. The record is from RNAcentral.